Molecule: ribosomal RNA, 434 nt
Filed under: uncultured bacterium
Lineage: Bacteria
Description: partial 16S ribosomal RNA
Rfam family: Bacterial small subunit ribosomal RNA
Source: RNAcentral
AGCGAACGCUGGCGGCAGGCCUAACACAUGCAAGUCGAACGAACCUUUCGGGGUUAGUGGCGGACGGGUGAGUAACACGUGGGAACGUGCCUUUAGGUUCGGAAUAACUCAGGGAAACUUGUGCUAAUACCGAAUGUGCCCUUCGGGGGAAAGAUUAAUCGCCUUUAGAGCGGCCCGCGUCUGAUUAGCUAGUUGGUUGAGGUAAUGGCUCACCAAGGCGACGAUCAGUAGCUGGUCUGAGAGGAUGAUCAGCCACAUUGGGACUGAGACACGGCCCAAAUCCGUCCGGGGGGAGCAAGUGGGAAUUCUUGCGCAAGGGGCAAAGGCCUGACGAGGCCAGGCCGGGUGAAGAAUGAGGGUUUAGGGUGUGAAAAUUUCUUCCACGGGGGACAAUAAGGAGGGUCCCGGAAAAAGAACCCCGGGCUACCUUGGUG